RNAcentral lists this microRNA (23 nucleotides) under Salmo salar (Atlantic salmon). RNAcentral describes it as "ssa-miR-19c-5p". Its record names the gene ssa-miR-19c-5p. The record is from miRBase by way of RNAcentral. Lineage: Eukaryota; Metazoa; Chordata; Actinopteri; Salmoniformes; Salmonidae.
AGUUUUGCUGCUUUGCAUCCCGC